GACGAACGCUGGCGGCGUGCUUAACGCAUGCAAGUCGAACGGAAGGGCCCUGCUUGCAGGGUACUCGAGUGGCGAACGGGUGAGUAACACGUGGGUGAUCUGCCCUGCACUUCGGUAUAAGCCUGGGAAACUGGGUCUAAUACCGGAUAGGAGCCAUUUUUAGUGUGAUGGUUGGAAAGUUUUUUCGGUGUAGGAUGAGCUCGCGGCCUAUCAGCUUGUUGGUGGGGUAAUGGCCUACCAAGGCGGCGACGGGUAGCCGGCCUGAGAGGGUGGACGGCCGCAUUGGGACUGAGAUACGGCCCAGACUCAUACGGGAGGCAGCAGGGGGGAAUAGUGCACAAUGGGCGCAAGCCUGGUGCAGCGAGGCCGCGUGGGGGAUGACGGCCUUCGGGUUGUAACCUCCUUUCGCUAGGGACGAAGCUUUUGUGACGGUACCUAGAUAAGAAGCACCGGCUAACUACGUGCCAGCCGCCGCCGUAA
RNAcentral lists this ribosomal RNA (480 nucleotides) under uncultured bacterium. RNAcentral describes it as "partial 16S ribosomal RNA". It matches the Rfam family "Bacterial small subunit ribosomal RNA", at positions 28 to 523 of the family's 1533-position model. The record is from RNAcentral.